GACGAACGCUGGCGGCGUGCUUAACACAUGCAAGUCGAGCGGUAAGGCCUUUCGGGGUACACGAGCGGCGAACGGGUGAGUAACACGUGGGUGAUCUGCCCUGCACUUCGGGAUAAGCCUGGGAAACUGGGUCUAAUACCGGAUAUGACCUCCUAUCGCAUGGUGGGUGGUGGAAAGAUUUAUCGGUGCAGGAUGGGCCCGCGGCCUAUCAGCUUGUUGGUGGGGUAAUGGCCUACCAAGGCGACGACGGGUAGCCGACCUGAGAGGGUGACCGGCCACACUGGGACUGAGACACGGCCCAGACUCCUACGGGAGGCAGAAGUGGGGAAUAUUGCACAAUGGGCGAAAGCCUGAUGCAGCGACGCCGCGUGAGGGAUGACGGCCUUCGGGUUGUAAACCUCUUUCAGCAGGGACGAAGCGCAAGUGACGGUACCUGCAGAAGAAGCACCGGCUAACUACGUG
Molecule: ribosomal RNA, 462 nt
Filed under: uncultured bacterium
Lineage: Bacteria
Description: partial 16S ribosomal RNA
Rfam family: Bacterial small subunit ribosomal RNA
Source: RNAcentral